This 73-nucleotide transfer RNA is filed under the name Ovis aries (sheep). It matches the Rfam family "tRNA". From Rfam's summary of the family: Transfer RNA (tRNA) molecules are approximately 80 nucleotides in length. Their secondary structure includes four short double-helical elements and three loops (D, anti-codon, and T loops). The record is from Rfam by way of RNAcentral. Lineage: Eukaryota; Metazoa; Chordata; Mammalia; Artiodactyla; Bovidae.
UCCCUGGAGGUCCAGUGACUAGGACUUUGCACUUUCAUUGCCGUGGGCCUGGGUUCAAUCCCUGGUCAGGGAA